Non-coding RNA from Jackrogersella minutella, 104 nucleotides. NCBI's taxonomy places the organism in Eukaryota, Fungi, Ascomycota, Sordariomycetes, Xylariales, Hypoxylaceae. The record is from the annotation of a GenBank genome assembly.
GGUCCGUUGGCCCAAUGGUAAGGCGUCUGACUACGACUAUACAAAAACUAUCGAAUAGUUAAUAGGUAAUCAGGAGAUUCUGGGUUCGACCCCCAGGCGGACCU